RNAcentral lists this long non-coding RNA (607 nucleotides) under Nicotiana benthamiana. RNAcentral's name for it is "long non-coding RNA (NBEN_LNC028045)". The record is from RNAcentral. Lineage: Eukaryota; Viridiplantae; Streptophyta; Magnoliopsida; Solanales; Solanaceae.
GCAUAUCAUUUAGAAAUCAUGUCUCUAGGACUUUGCAUUGCAAGCACCAUAAAAAUCAUCUCUAUAGGAAGUGAAUAAACGUUAGGCAAGCUGUAGGGCAAUCAAAUAUUUACCCUUUCUAACAGUUUAACGACAGUAACGAGUCUUAAAAAUGAAGAUGUAGAUAUCAUUCCUAUAGGAAUUCAAACUCGCCUAAUAUGAGGAUAAUCUGUCAAACGCUUUCAGCAAAAGUUUUCUCUAAACCUGUCUGCUUUUGAAACGUGUCCAAUUCUAUCUCUUUUUUUAACAUUUCUAUAGUUCUAUAUUGUCCUUAAAAUUCAAAAUUUACAUCUCUAUUAUGUGACUAACCCCUCAAUUUCUGCCUAAAUCUUUACUUCAAUGCUUUUUGAAAACGCCUCUUUACAACUUUACUUUUACUUAAGCAGUUCGGCUAAUUUGUAACCGUAUCCCUGACCAAUAUCCGUGGAUGAAAAACACUUGCUUAGAACCUCGUAUGUAGCUCGUGAACAGCACACCCGGUAAGUUCCCAGGAAAGAGAGGUGGGUCGCGACCACUUAAUUACCAAGUCUUUCCUAGCCAGAGCUUACCUAGACAUGUACCUCCACAC